RNAcentral lists this ribosomal RNA (645 nucleotides) under uncultured Lactobacillus sp. RNAcentral describes it as "bacterial SSU rRNA". It matches the Rfam family "Bacterial small subunit ribosomal RNA", at positions 28 to 629 of the family's 1533-position model. The record is from RNAcentral. Lineage: Bacteria; Bacillati; Bacillota; Bacilli; Lactobacillales; Lactobacillaceae.
GAUGAACGCCGGCGGUGUGCCUAAUACAUGCAAGUCGUACGCACUGGCCCAACUGAUUGAUGGUGCUUGCACCUGAUUGACGAUGGAUCACCAGUGAGUGGCGGACGGGUGAGUAACACGUAGGUAACCUGCCCCGGAGCGGGGGAUAACAUUUGGAAACAGAUGCUAAUACCGCAUAACAACAAAAGCCACAUGGCUUUUGUUUGAAAGAUGGCUUUGGCUAUCACUCUGGGAUGGACCUGCGGUGCAUUAGCUAGUUGGUAAGGUAACGGCUUACCAAGGCGAUGAUGCAUAGCCGAGUUGAGAGACUGAUCGGCCACAAUGGAACUGAGACACGGUCCAUACUCCUACGGGAGGCAGCAGUAGGGAAUCUUCCACAAUGGGCGCAAGCCUGAUGGAGCAACACCGCGUGAGUGAAGAAGGGUUUCGGCUCGUAAAGCUCUGUUGUUGGAGAAGAACGUGCGUGAGAGUAACUGUUCACGCAGUGACGGUAUCCAACCAGAAAGUCACGGCUAACUACGUGCCAGCAGCCGCGGUAAUACGUAGGUGGCAAGCGUUAUCCGGAUUUAUUGGGCGUAAAGCGAGCGCAGGCGGUUGCUUAGGUCUGAUGUGAAAGCCUUCGGCUUAACCGAAGAAGUGCAUCGG